This 608-nucleotide ribosomal RNA is filed under the name uncultured fungus. RNAcentral describes it as "eukaryotic LSU rRNA". It matches the Rfam family "Eukaryotic large subunit ribosomal RNA", at positions 38 to 667 of the family's 3401-position model. Lineage: Eukaryota; Fungi. The record is from RNAcentral.
GCAUAUCAAUAAGCGGAGGAAAAGAAACCAACAGGGAUUGCUCUAGUAACGGCGAGUGAAGCAGCAAUAGCUCAAAUUUGAAAUCUGGCGUCUUCGACGUCCGAGUUGUAAUUUGUAGAGGAUGCUUCUGAGUAACCACCGACCUAAGUUCCUUGGAACAGGACGUCAUAGAGGGUGAGAAUCCCGUAUGCGGUCGGAAAGGUGCUCUAUACGUAGCUCCUUCGACGAGUCGAGUUGUUUGGGAAUGCAGCCCUAAAUGGGAGGUAAAUUUCUUCUAAAGCUAAAUAUUGGCCAGAGACCGAUAGCGCACAAGUAGAGUGAUCGAAAGAUGAAAAGCACUUUGGAAAGAGAGUUAAAAAGCACGUGAAAUUGUUAAAAGGGAAGGGAUUGCAACCAGACUUGCUCGCGGUGUUCCGCCGGUCUUCUGACCGGUCUACUCGCCGCGUUGCAGGCCAGCAUCGUCUGGUGCCGCUGGAUAAGACUUGAGGAAUGUAGCUCCCUCGGGAGUGUUAUAGCCUCUUGUGAUGCAGCGAGCGCCGGGCGAGGUCCGCGCUUCGGCUAGGAUGCUGGCGUAAUGGUCGUAAUCCGCCCGUCUUGAAACACGGACC